UGUACGGAGAAGAACUAAAAGGAUUCCCUCAGUAAUGGCGAAUGAGCAGGGAUAAGCUCAGCGUGGAAAUUGGGGCUUGCGGCUUUGAAUUGUAAUAUUGAGAUGUACUGCCAGCGGAGGCGCAGAUGUAAGCCUUGUGGAAAGGAGCACCAACGAGGGUGAGAGUCCUGUUUGGCAUCUGCAGUCCCCCGUGCACAGUGUACCUUCUACGAGUCGCGUUCCUUGGGAUUGGAGCGCUAAGUUGGUGGUAAAUUUCAUCGAAAGCUAAACAUGUGUCUGAGACUGAUAGCGAACAAGUACCAUGAGGGAAAGGUGAAAAGGACUUUGAAAAGAGAGUUAAAAGUGCCUGAAAUUGCUGAGAGGGAAGCGGAUGGAACCAGUGUUUGUUCUUGGCGAGAUUGCUACAUGCUAUAAUGAUUGAUUGCUGCAUCAGCGCAAGCAGCUUGGCAAGUUUUGAACUGCAAGCAUGUUGUGUUUCUUGCGUUGCAUGCCAUCGUGGGUUUGCGCAUUAAGAAAACUUAAAGCACAUGGUACGGUGUUUCCGAACGCAUGAAUGUGCUGUGCUAUAUUUCUGCAUGAACUUUAUCACGAGCGUCGGGCUGCAAUGCUCUUGCGCCCUCGGUCGCCAUGCGCGGAUGUUCCCUAUCUGGCGGCGGGGCGCGCAAGGCAUGUCCUUGACGUUCAUACGAUGACA
RNAcentral lists this ribosomal RNA (694 nucleotides) under Amphisolenia bidentata. RNAcentral describes it as "LSU rRNA". It matches the Rfam family "Eukaryotic large subunit ribosomal RNA", at positions 51 to 631 of the family's 3401-position model. Lineage: Eukaryota; Dinophyceae; Dinophysales; Amphisoleniaceae. The record is from RNAcentral.